GACUCCAUGAAGCUGGAUUCGCUAGUAAUCGCGCAUCAGCCACGGCGCGGUGAAUACGUUCCCGGGCCUUGUACACACCGCCCGUCAAGCCAUGGAAGCCGGGGGGUGCCUGAAGUGCGCUGCCGCAAGGAGCGACCUAGGGCAAAACUGGUGACUGGGGCUAAGUCGUAACAAGGUAAC
Molecule: ribosomal RNA, 180 nt
Filed under: uncultured bacterium
Lineage: Bacteria
Description: partial 16S ribosomal RNA
Rfam family: Bacterial small subunit ribosomal RNA
Source: RNAcentral